UUAUAUAAUAAUACAAGCUGGACACAACUCACAAAUCUAAAGAUCUUGGCGGCGCCAUACAAAAUCAGGGGAACCUGUUCCUUAAUACGAUAAUCCACGCACGCUCAACCACCAUAAGAAAAAUCAGCCUGUGUACUGCCGUCGUAAGCAUACCUUUAAAAGAUACUGCAGCAAUAAAUAAUUAUUACCAAUGUCAGGUCAUAGUGCAGCUAAUAUGGUGGAGGAAAUGGGUUACACACUACAACUAGAUACCAAAGUAAAAUAAAAACUCUACACAAAGGUGGACUUGAUAGUAAUAACUAAUAAAAUAUAAUUAUGAAACUUACAUAUAGCGUGCACACAUCGCCCGUCACUCCUAUUUAAAAAUU
RNAcentral lists this ribosomal RNA (368 nucleotides) under Rhyacodrilus subterraneus. RNAcentral's name for it is "partial 12S ribosomal RNA". The record is from RNAcentral. Lineage: Eukaryota; Metazoa; Annelida; Clitellata; Tubificida; Naididae.